GCCUACGGGGGGCAGCAGUAGGGAAUCUUCCACAAUGGGCGAAAGCCUGAUGGAGCAACGCCGCGUGGGUGAAGAAGGUCUUCGGAUCGUAAAACCCUGUUGUUAGAGAAGAAAGUGCGUGAGAGUAACUAUUCACGUUUCGACGGUAUCUAACCAGAAAGCCACGGCUAACUACGUGCCAGCAGCCGCGGUAAUACGUAGGUGGCAAGCGUUAUCCGGAUUUAUUGGGCGUAAAGGGAACGCAGGCGGUCUUUUAAGUCUGAUGUGAAAGCCUUCGGCUUAACCGGAGUAGUGCAUUGGAAACG
This 305-nucleotide ribosomal RNA is filed under the name uncultured bacterium. RNAcentral's name for it is "bacterial SSU rRNA". It matches the Rfam family "Bacterial small subunit ribosomal RNA", at positions 337 to 634 of the family's 1533-position model. The record is from RNAcentral.